This 355-nucleotide transfer-messenger RNA is filed under the name Candidatus Schekmanbacteria bacterium RBG_16_38_10. It matches the Rfam family "transfer-messenger RNA". From Rfam's summary of the family: Bacterial tmRNA, also known as 10Sa RNA or SsrA, is named for its dual tRNA and mRNA-like properties. Its role is to liberate the mRNA from a stalled ribosome. Lineage: Bacteria; Candidatus Schekmaniibacteriota. The record is from RNAcentral.
GGGGGCGAAUUGGAUUCGACGGGGAUAAGUGAGGUUUAACGGAGCAUGCCGAGGUACCAGUAGCUCGUAAAACAGCUGGAAAUAAAAUAAACGCAGACAAUUAUGCUCUGCCCUUAGCUGCCUAAGAACAGCUAAUCCUGGUUAGGUUCUCGCCUGCGGGAUUUAAUCGGGACCAUUUAGCAGGCUGGUCUUUCUUUCACCGCUUGAUGGGAGAGAGAUAAGAAAAAUUCAAGCUGGUUCUCUGAAAAUCCUGCCUCCGGGAGAUUCAGGGGAUGAGAUUAAAACAGAGGAUAAGCAUGUAGUGCCUUAAGCAUCAUAUCUUCGGACAGGGGUUCGAUUCCCCUCGCCUCCAUUA